RNAcentral lists this ribosomal RNA (253 nucleotides) under uncultured bacterium. Its description in RNAcentral is "partial 16S ribosomal RNA". It matches the Rfam family "Bacterial small subunit ribosomal RNA", at positions 524 to 776 of the family's 1533-position model. The record is from RNAcentral.
UACGUAGGUGGCAAGCGUUGUUCGGAAUUACUGGGCGUAAAGCGCGCGUAGGCGGCUCUUCAAGUCAGGCGUGAAAGCCCCGAGCUUAACUCGGGAACUGCGCUUGAUACUGUCGAGCUAGAGUGUGGAAGGGGCGAUUGGAAUUCCGUGUGUAGCGGUGAAAUGCGUAGAUAUACGGAGGAACACCAGGGGCGAAGGCGGAUCGCUGGGCCAACACUGACGCUGAUGUGCGAAAGCUAGGGGAGCAAACGGG